GCCCGGAUAGCUCAGUUGGUAGAGCACUUCCAUGGUAAGGAAGGGGUCGCCGGUUCGAGUCCGGCUCCGGGCU
This 73-nucleotide transfer RNA is filed under the name Solirubrobacterales bacterium. RNAcentral's name for it is "tRNA-Thr(ggt)". It matches the Rfam family "tRNA". From Rfam's summary of the family: Transfer RNA (tRNA) molecules are approximately 80 nucleotides in length. Their secondary structure includes four short double-helical elements and three loops (D, anti-codon, and T loops). RNAcentral also lists the same sequence under 2 other names. The record is from RNAcentral. Lineage: Bacteria; Bacillati; Actinomycetota; Thermoleophilia; Solirubrobacterales.